GUGGUAAUGCCGGAUGCUCCAGUUGAUCGCAUGGUCUUCUGGGAAAGCUUUCGCGGUAUGGGAUGGGGUCGCGUCCUAUCAGCUUGACGGCGGGGUAACGGCCCACCGUGGCUUCGACGGGUAGCCGGCCUGAGAGGGCGACCGGCCACAUUGGGACUGAGAUACGGCCCAGACUCCUACGGGAGGCAGCAGUGGGGAAUAUUGCACAAUGGGCGCAAGCCUGAUGCAGCGACGCCGCGUGAGGGAUGGAGGCCUUCGGGUUGUAAACCUCUUUUAUCGGGGAGCAAGCGWGAGUGAGUUUACCCGUUGAAUAAGCACCGGCUAACUACGUGCCAGCAGCCGCGGUAAUACGUAGGGUGCAAGCGUUAUCCGGAAUUAUUGGGCGUAAAGGGCUCGUAGGCGGUUCGUCGCGUCCGGUGUGAAAGUCCAUCGCUUAACGGUGGAUCCGCGCCGGGUACGGGCGGGCUUGAGUGCGGUAGGGGAGACUGGAAUUCCCGGUGUAACGGUGGAAUGUGUAGAUAUCGGGAAAGAACACCA
This 537-nucleotide ribosomal RNA is filed under the name Bifidobacterium longum subsp. infantis. RNAcentral describes it as "bacterial SSU rRNA". Lineage: Bacteria; Bacillati; Actinomycetota; Actinomycetes; Bifidobacteriales; Bifidobacteriaceae. The record is from RNAcentral.